RNAcentral lists this ribosomal RNA (368 nucleotides) under uncultured bacterium. RNAcentral's name for it is "bacterial SSU rRNA". It matches the Rfam family "Bacterial small subunit ribosomal RNA", at positions 29 to 424 of the family's 1533-position model. The record is from RNAcentral.
AACGAACGCUGGCGGCAGGCUUAACACAUGCAAGUCGAACGGGUGUAGCAAUACAUCAGUGGCAGACGGGUGAGUAACACGUGGGAACCUUCCUAGGGGUACGGAACAACUCAGGGAAACUUGAGCUAAUACCGUAUACGUCCGUGAGGAGAAAGAUUUAUCGCCCUUAGACGGGCCCGCGUCGGAUUAGGUAGUUGGUGGGGUAACGGCCUACCAAGCCUACGAUCCGUAGCUGAUCUGAGAGGAUGAUCAGCCACACUGGGACUGAGACACGGCCCAGACUCCUACGGGAGGCAGCAGUGGGGAAUCUUGGACAAUGGGCGCAAGCCUGAUCCAGCCAUGCCGCGUGAGUGAAGAAGGCCUCGGUU